GACAGAGGAUGCAAGCGUUAAUCGGAAUUACUGGGCGUAAAGCGCACGCAGGCGGUCUGUUAAGUCAGAUGUGAAAUCCCCGGGCUUAACCUGGGAACUGCAUUUGAAACUGGCAGGCUUGAGUCUCGUAGAGGGGGGUAGAAUUCCAGGUGUAGCGGUGAAAUGCGUAGAGAUCUGGAGGAAUACCGGUGGCGAAGGCGGCCCCCUGGACGAAGACUGACGCUCAGGUGCGAAAGCGUGGGGAGCAAACAGGAUUAGAAACCCUGAGUAGUCC
RNAcentral lists this ribosomal RNA (274 nucleotides) under uncultured prokaryote. Its description in RNAcentral is "partial 16S ribosomal RNA". It matches the Rfam family "Bacterial small subunit ribosomal RNA", at positions 524 to 796 of the family's 1533-position model. The record is from RNAcentral.